RNAcentral lists this ribosomal RNA (253 nucleotides) under uncultured bacterium. RNAcentral's name for it is "partial 16S ribosomal RNA". It matches the Rfam family "Bacterial small subunit ribosomal RNA", at positions 524 to 776 of the family's 1533-position model. The record is from RNAcentral.
UACGAACUGUGCGAACGUUAUUCGGAAUCACUGGGCUUAAAGGGUGCGUAGGCGGUUACUUAAGUCAGGUGUGAAAUCUCUCGGCUCAACCGGGAAACUGCGCUUGAUACUGGGUGGCUAGAGUGAGGUAGGGGUGUGUGGAACUUCCGGUGGAGCGGUGAAAUGUGUAGAUAUCGGAAGGAACGCCAGCAGCGAAAGCGGCACACUGGGCCUUUUCUGACGCUGAGGCACGAAAGCUAGGGGAGCGAACGGG